AUGGCUCAGGAUGAACGCUAGCUACAGGCUUAACACAUGCAAGUCGAGGGGCAGCGAGGGGUUAGCUUGCUAAUCCUGUCGGCGACCGGCGCACGGGUGAGUAACGCGUAUCCAACCUGGCCCAUAGUAGGGAAUAGCCCGGCGAAAGUCGGAUUAAUGCCCUAUGUUAUCCGAUGAGGACAUCUGAAUUGGAUUAAAGAUUCAUCGCUAUGGGAUGGGGAUGCGUCUGAUUAGCUUGCCGGCGGGGUAACGGCCCACCGGGGCAACGAUCAGUAGGGUUCUGAGAGGAAGGUCCCCCACAUUGGAACUGAGACACGGUCCAAACUCCUACGGGAGGCAGCAGUGAGGAAUAUUGGUCAAUGGCCGCAAGGCUGAACCAGCCAAGUCGCCGUGCAGGAUGACGGCCCUAUGGGUUGUAAACUGCUUUUGCGGGGGAAUAAAGUGAGGGACGCGUCCCUUUUUGUAUGUACCCUGAGAAUAAGGACCGGCUAAUUCCGUGCCAGCAGCCGC
RNAcentral lists this ribosomal RNA (510 nucleotides) under uncultured bacterium. RNAcentral describes it as "bacterial SSU rRNA". It matches the Rfam family "Bacterial small subunit ribosomal RNA", at positions 19 to 518 of the family's 1533-position model. The record is from RNAcentral.